This 254-nucleotide ribosomal RNA is filed under the name uncultured bacterium. RNAcentral describes it as "partial 16S ribosomal RNA". It matches the Rfam family "Bacterial small subunit ribosomal RNA", at positions 524 to 776 of the family's 1533-position model. The record is from RNAcentral.
UACGUAGGCAGCAAGCGUUGUUCGGAGUUACUGGGCGUAAAGAGUAUGUAGGCGGUGUCCUAAGUUCGGUGUGAAAUCUCCCGGCUCAACUGGGAGGGUGCGCCGAAGACUGGGAUGCUGGAGUCUCGGAGAGGAACGCGGAAUUCCUGGUGUAGCGGUGAAAUGCGUAGAUAUCAGGAGGAACACCGGUGGCGAAGGCGGGUCUCUGGGCAGUAACUGACGCUGGAGGAGCGAAAGCGUGGGGAGCGAACAGG